Danio rerio (zebrafish) is the source of this 1195-nucleotide non-coding RNA. The record is from RefSeq and is a predicted model, not a curated record. NCBI's taxonomy places the organism in Eukaryota, Metazoa, Chordata, Actinopteri, Cypriniformes, Danionidae.
UUAUCAAUAAAAACUUAGACCAUUCAUGUCAUCAGCAACAAAAUGUCCAUUAUUGUUGAUAGUGUGUAUGAACAGUAGUCACCAAUUGAAAUGGAUCAAAAAUGUUUUUCACAAGACAGGAAUAGGUAUUAUUCAAUAGUUUUAGGACAACUUUGAUGAACGGUAAUGAUCCACUUUAUUUGUUGACUACUGUAUUUGGUGUCUCCUCACUAGCAGUGCUGGGGAAGAAUGACUGAAGAAAGAAAUUAAUUAUUUAGUGAAGGGGCAUGCCAGUGCACCAUUACUUUUAAGUACUGCAUGUCCAGGCUUUGGCGCUGCACUUCAAACAGGCCCAAGAACGUUCCGUACAGAAGGAAUUCAUCAUUUAAAUGACCACAGCGGGCUGAGAUGUUCACUGAACAAGAAUCUCAAAGGUUUUUCGUUACAUGGAGCAGUGACACACUUUGCGGUCGACUGAACUUCAGUCUUCAUUUGUUCACACACUGAUGUAACCACAUCUGUCAAAAUGUUGUGUUAAAGGAGCUUUCUGUUGUUAUCAAAGAUCCAGAUGCUAGCUUUAAUAAGUGUAGAUUUUCAUAAUCCCAUUCUUAAUGUGCAUUUGUGUUUAGAAGCACUGCAGAAAGCUCAAAUACAAGCCUGACGGAGGCCACAUGUGAAGGUUAACACAAGUUUAAGGUUUAUAGUCUAACAGUCUGGCCAAAACACGGAAAUGACAGACCACCAGCACAAAUAAAAAAAAAAAAAACAGUUCAUGGACGUUCUGACAACAGACAGACAGUGAAAUGAGGUCUGUUAAACAAACACUGCUGCUCUUUAAUGAGAGCCUGCAGACGACUGAGAAUACGUGCAAACAUUAACCAACAAAAUGUCCCUUAAUGUUAACAAACCAUUAACAGAAACGCUUCAGAGGAGGAAUGUGUGACGCACGAGUCUAGGAGAACGUUCUGACAUGAGUAAUAAACGAUUAAUCAUUAAUCUCUAGGGCAGGGUAAUCAAACAUUACAUAAACUGCCUGAGAUGCAACAUUAUGACAAAACAAAUAUUUGUGGAUGCUGAGUGUUCAAAGCAACAUUCAAUGUCUGUUGCAUAACUAAACAAUAAGCUGACAUUUGUAUGGACAGAUCAUUUCAAAAUAUCUUCCAUGUAUAAAUGUAAAUGUUGAAUUAAAAACAAAUCUGCGGAUUUAUGCAGAAUG